AGUGAACGCUGGCGGUAGGCCUAACACAUGCAAGUCGAACGGCAGCACAGUAAGAGCUUGCUCUUACGGGUGGCGAGUGGCGGACGGGUGGGGAAUACAUCGGAAUCUACUUUUUCGUGGGGGAUAACGUAGGGAAACUUACGCUAAUACCGCAUACGACCUACGGGUGAAAGCAGGGGAUCUUCGGACCUUGCGCGAUUGAAUGAGCCGAUGUCGGAUUAGCUAGUUGGCGGGGUAAAGGCCCACCAAGGCGACGAUCCGUAGCUGGUCUGAGAGGAUGAUCAGCCACACUGGAACUGAGGCACGGUCCAGACUCCUACGGGAGGCAGCAGUGGGGAAUAUUGGACAAUGGGCGCAAGCCUGAUCCAGCCAUACCGCGUGGGUGAAGAAGGCCUUCGGGUUGUAAAGCCCUUUUGUUGGGAAAGAAAAGCAGCAGGUUAAUACCCCGCUGUUCUGUCGGUACCCAAAGAAUAAGCACCGGCUAACUUCGUG
This 492-nucleotide ribosomal RNA is filed under the name uncultured bacterium. RNAcentral describes it as "partial 16S ribosomal RNA". It matches the Rfam family "Bacterial small subunit ribosomal RNA", at positions 29 to 507 of the family's 1533-position model. The record is from RNAcentral.